UACGGAGGGUGCGAGCGUUUGUUCGGAAUCACUGGGCGUAAAGCGCGUGUAGGCGGCCCACUAAGUCUGAUGUGAAAGCCCGGGGCUCACCCCCGGAAGUGCAUUGGAAACUGGUGGACUCGAGUCCCGGAGAGGAGAGUGGAAUUCCUGGUCGUGAGCGGUGAAAUGCGUAGAUAUCAGGAGGAACACCUGGUGGCGAAGGGCGGCUCGUCGUG
This 215-nucleotide ribosomal RNA is filed under the name uncultured bacterium. RNAcentral describes it as "partial 16S ribosomal RNA". It matches the Rfam family "Bacterial small subunit ribosomal RNA", at positions 524 to 733 of the family's 1533-position model. The record is from RNAcentral.